Molecule: long non-coding RNA, 1694 nt
Organism: Mustela erminea (ermine)
Lineage: Eukaryota; Metazoa; Chordata; Mammalia; Carnivora; Mustelidae
Exons: 2
Source: RefSeq, a predicted model, not a curated record
CUACAUACAGAAUGAGGGGAAAAAAACAUUUUCCUUAUUUACAUCUCUACCUCCAGCAGCAAGAACAGGGCCUUUUACUUAAUAAAUACUAAAUUAACUCUGUAUUAUCAGUAAGUGAGUAAAUCUGCCAGGUAUAAUUAUAGGCACUAAAGUCAGAUGAGACAAGUAUAGGAACAAUUAUAGUUCAAUGAAAGCAUGAAGGUGAAGGCAUCCAUCAGACUUUAGUUUACAGGGAAGUCUGAAGGGACAAGAUGAAACUCCGUGAAAAGGAGAGAAAGCAGGCAUUCCUGCUGAGCAAUCACAGGAUCCCUUGCAUGGUAUGCAGGCAUAUGAACAUUUUAACACUGGGUUCAUCUGGAAAUGGAAAAGGAGAUGGAGCUAAAAGCCAACUGAAGAAUUAGACCUGUGAAAUGAGAGAAAGGGAUGGAGGAUCAGGCAGGGAAAUUAAAACUGCAAUACAAACCUGGCAAAGUCUCUGACAGGCUCACAUGGAGCCUGGAGCAAAGAUUCCUAGUUAGAGGGUCCUGCAACAGGCAGAGGUGGUCCGGCACUGGUACCACCGUCUUAUUCAACCACUGACUGGGGCCCCCCAGAAGAGUCUGACUCCUCUCGAAAGCUGAGGCAGACAGGAGGUGCGGCUGGGCAAUCUGCACACACAGCAGUGACGCCUCCCUUGGAAGGACUCCCUAUCUAGGCUUAAGCCUGACUGGUGCAGGCAGCAACUGUCUGUUCCAUACACAUGCAGGGUGUGCAUGUUAGCACAGAGCAAGGCAUGAGGAGGGGCCAGAGAGAGGGCUUGAAGGGCUUGUGCAGGUCUCAGGAUUUUGGAUCUUAUCCCAUCGGCAGUGAGGGUCACUGGAAAGUUUUAAGUAAGGAAGCAAUGGGAUUUGCAGAUUUACAAAUUGGUUGGUUCUCUACAGCACUGAAAUAAAACCUGAAUGCAGGGCCAUUGGUGAGUAGGUGCUGGAAAAGCCCCUAUGCAAGCAUAAACAAAGAACCUGGUGUAGAAAUGGGGGGCGGGAGAGAAUUAGAGAGGCUCUAAGUAGGCAGGCACUUCUGCCUGUAAUGAUGGAUUAGACUUGAGGAGUAAGUAAGAGCAAGGAGGCUGGGACACCUUCUCGUUUUCUAGGACAUAAAAUUUCUGUAUGCUCUGAGAAUAAGCUUUAAAGGAAAUAAUAAAAUGAGGCUCACUGCAAACUUCUACCACACAAAAAGUUAAGUUGUCUAAUUAUCACAGCCAGAUCCUUGAUCAUCUCCCUGUAAUCUAGCUCGUGCUGUGAUUACACAGCACCAUGUCUCAGACUGGUGCCAAUUGUCAAACAAAGAAACACAGACUACUCAAUGUGAUUUGGAGCAUGGGGGUGGGGAGUCCCAGGAUCUCAGUCUCAAAGGGAAGCCUUAGACUGGAGGGGAGAGAAUGUAAAUGCACACAGGUAAAUAUUUAAAAUAAUAAAAACACAAGAAAACAAACAAAGACACCCCCACCACACAAACACAUAAAAUGGAUUGCUAUAUGUCAUAUUUAUUGGCACUGAAUUUGAAAGCAAAAUGAAAUGCCAAAAAUUAAUAUUAGGUUAUAAUGUUAUUUAAACUAAAUAUUUAAUGAAGCGUUUAUAUACAGAGUACCCAUGUGAAUUAAAUAAGCACAUAAGGCCAUUUAUUCCCUGAUUCCAGGAUACUUAUCCAGCAUCAUU